This 360-nucleotide long non-coding RNA is filed under the name Hordeum vulgare. RNAcentral describes it as "long non-coding RNA (HVUL_LNC014399)". The record is from RNAcentral. Lineage: Eukaryota; Viridiplantae; Streptophyta; Magnoliopsida; Poales; Poaceae.
ACAAACGCACACCAACGCUGCUGGGGUACUAGCUAUAAAAGAUAGGCACCAAUAGCUAAAUAGGGAACCAAAAAGGGAACUAAGCUAAGCUAAAGAAAUAAAAACAAACACUAAGAUAGCUAGCUAGUUCAUGGCAAUAAGCACAAGCCUUAUCGGAGCUUGGACUCAAUGAAAUCCAACUCUACAAACCAAACAAACGUCAUAGGAAAUUUUCAUAUGGUUUCCAUCCCUACAAACCAAACAAACUUCUAAAAAUUUAUGAAAUAAAAUCCUCCAAAUUUCCUAGAGAAACGCUUUUGAACCAAAUAGCUCUGCGCUUGAUUUGUGUUCUUCAAACACAUCAAUUCCACUUCUAUUGGG